RNAcentral lists this ribosomal RNA (274 nucleotides) under uncultured bacterium. Its description in RNAcentral is "partial 16S ribosomal RNA". It matches the Rfam family "Bacterial small subunit ribosomal RNA", at positions 523 to 796 of the family's 1533-position model. The record is from RNAcentral.
AUACGGAGGGAGCGAGCGUUAAUCGGAAUUACUGGGCGUAAAGCGCGCGUAGGCGGCUUUGUCAGUCGGAUGUGAAAGCCCUGGGCUUAACCUGGGAAUGGCAUUCGAUACUGCAGAGCUAGAGUAUGGUAGAGGGAAGUGGAAUUUCCGGUGUAGCGGUGAAAUGCGUAGAUAUCGGAAGGAACACCAGUGGCGAAGGCGACUUCCUGGGCCAAUACUGACGCUGAGGUGCGAAAGCGUGGGGAGCAAACAGGAUUAGAAACCCCAGUAGUCC